UGGAAAUGUCACCGAGGCUGGGGCUGCUGGAGGACACCGGCCCCGCGUCCUUCCCCGGCCCGCAGUGGGGCCUGCGCUGGGAUUUGAAAUGAAGAGGCCUCAAAAGACCUUCGGCUGAAAGGUGUCCAACAGGAAUUUUUAAGAGGAGUUCAAACGGAUUCUGCAAAUAACAGCCUGGUUUUCCAGCUCUGCCUUAAGGCCUGCAGCUUCGAGAGCAAGGAAAUGUUUGGGAGCAGGAGCCUGGAGGGAAAAGGACCAGAGAAACAAGUUUUCUGCUCCUUCUAAUGAGGGCAGUAAGGCUCGUGUGUUACCUCUACAACUGCAGGGGCAAAGUUUACGAGAUGAUCGUCUUUAGUACUCAAAAAAGCGAGAAGCAAUGGUCACUGCAA
Long non-coding RNA from Catharus ustulatus (Swainson's thrush), 389 nucleotides. RefSeq lists it as uncharacterized. NCBI's taxonomy places the organism in Eukaryota, Metazoa, Chordata, Aves, Passeriformes, Turdidae. The transcript has 3 exons. The record is from RefSeq and is a predicted model, not a curated record.